This 363-nucleotide unclassified non-coding RNA is filed under the name fungal sp. RNAcentral describes it as "partial internal transcribed spacer region". Lineage: Eukaryota; Fungi. The record is from RNAcentral.
AAGUCGUAACAAGGUUUCCGUAGGUGAACCUGCAUUAACAACUGUGAACUUUCAAUCCCAAAUCGCUUGAUCCCAGUACCUCAGCAAUCUCUGGUAAAUCAUAGUGAACAGCUUUGAUUCAGAGACCUCUGAAUAACCUUGGGCGGUCGCGGUUGGUGAGGCAAGUGACCUGGUACCCUCAAGACCAGUGUUCAAUGAUCUGUCAGUGUUCAUUGACUGGAAUCAAACGUUCUGUCAGUGUGCGUUUGAUUCGACUGGGUCAGCGAGCUUUGCUCCCACUGUUACUACUUACAAGAUUUCCCAAUUAGUGAAAGCUAUUGGGCUAUAACUAAACGACUGUUAACAAUGGAUAUCUCGAUUCUC